AUACGGAGGGUGCAAGCGUUGUUCGGAAUCACAGGGCGUAAAGGGCGCGCAGGCGGUUUGGUAAGUCAGAUGUGAAAGCCCACGGCUCAACCGUGGAAGUGCAUUUGAAACUGUCAGACUUGAGUACUAGAGGGGAAAGUGGAAUUCCCGGUGUAGAGGUGAAAUUCGUAGAUAUCGGGAGGAAUACCGGUGGCGAAGGCGACUUUCUGGUCUAUCUCUGACGCUGAGGAGCGAAAGCUAGGGGAGCAAACGGGAUUAGAUACCCGAGUAGUCC
This 274-nucleotide ribosomal RNA is filed under the name uncultured bacterium. RNAcentral describes it as "partial 16S ribosomal RNA". It matches the Rfam family "Bacterial small subunit ribosomal RNA", at positions 523 to 796 of the family's 1533-position model. The record is from RNAcentral.